UACGGGGGGGGCAAGCGUUGUUCGGAAUUACUGGGCGUAAAGGGCUCGUAGGUGGCCGACUAAGUCAGACGUGAAAUCCCUCGGCUUAACCGGGGAACUGCGUCUGAUACUGGAUGGCUUGAGUUUGGGAGAGGGAUGCGGAAUUCCAGGUGUAGCGGUGAAAUGCGUAGAUAUCUGGAGGAACACCGGUGGCGAAGGCGGCAUCCUGGACCAAUACUGACACUGAGGAGCGAAAGCCAGGGGAGCAAACGGG
Molecule: ribosomal RNA, 253 nt
Filed under: uncultured bacterium
Lineage: Bacteria
Description: partial 16S ribosomal RNA
Rfam family: Bacterial small subunit ribosomal RNA
Source: RNAcentral